Molecule: ribosomal RNA, 253 nt
Filed under: uncultured bacterium
Lineage: Bacteria
Description: partial 16S ribosomal RNA
Rfam family: Bacterial small subunit ribosomal RNA
Source: RNAcentral
UACGGAGGGAGCUAGCGUUGUUCGGAAUUACUGGGCGUAAAGCGCGCGUAGGCGGCUUUGUAAGUUAGAGGUGAAAGCCCGGAGCUCAACUCCGGAACUGCCUUUAAAACUGCAUCGCUUGAAUCCAGGAGAGGCGAGUGGAAUUCCGAGUGUAGAGGUGAAAUUCGUAGAUAUUCGGAAGAACACCAGUGGCGAAGGCGACUUACUGGACACAUAUUGACGCUGAGGUGCGAAAGCGUGGGGAGCAAACAGG